CCCUUAGAUGUUCUGGGCUGCACGCGCGCUACACUGAAGCUAUCAACACGUUUUCCCUCCCUGAGAAGGGCGGGUAACCUUUUGAAUCAGCUUCGUGGUAGGGAUCGGGGCUUGCAAUUGUUCCCCGUGAACCAGGAAUUCCUAGUAGACGCGAGUCAUAAGCUCGCAUCGAUUAAGUCCCUGCCCUUUGUACACACCGCCCGUCGCUCCUACCGAUUGAACGUGCUGGUGAAGCGUUAGGACUGGCUCUCGGGGCAGGUCUCCUGCCCCUUGAAUCGGGAAUUUCGUUGAACCCUCCCGUUUAGAGGAAGGAGAAGUCGUAACA
Molecule: ribosomal RNA, 325 nt
Filed under: uncultured eukaryote
Lineage: Eukaryota
Description: partial 18S ribosomal RNA
Rfam family: Eukaryotic small subunit ribosomal RNA
Source: RNAcentral